AUCACCUGGGAAUCUUAUUAAAAUGCAGAUUCUGAUUCAGUAUGUCUGAGAAGGAACCCGAGCAUCUGCAUUUCUAGUACGUUUUCAGGUGAUGCCCA
Molecule: microRNA precursor, 98 nt
Filed under: Myotis brandtii (Brandt's bat)
Lineage: Eukaryota; Metazoa; Chordata; Mammalia; Chiroptera; Vespertilionidae
Description: mir-544 microRNA precursor family
Rfam family: mir-544 microRNA precursor family
Source: Rfam by way of RNAcentral